CAGCCACCUUUAAAAAAGCGUUAAAGCUUAAUUUUAUAAUACAUUAAUAUAAAACAUAAUUAUGAACCCACCUAAAUUACUGAAUGAUCUUAUUUUAUUUAUAAGACCCAUCAUGCUAGAACUAGUAACAAGAACACAACAUUCUCCUAAGUGUAAGCAUAAACCAAAAUGGAUAUCCCACUGGUAUUUAACGAACAUGAAUUACUUACAGUAACAAAACAAGAAAAUCCUGUAUUAAUCUAUCGUUAACCUAACACUAGAACACUUCAGGAAAGAUUAAAAGAGAAAGAAGGAACUCGGCAAAUCUUAACCUCGCCUGUUUACCAAAAACAUCGCCUCUUGCUUAAUUAUAAGAGGUCAGGCCUGCCCGGUGAUAAAAUUAAACGGCCGCGGUAUCCUAACCGCGCGAAGGUAGCAUAAUCACUUGUUCCUUAAAUAGGGACCUGUAUCAACGGCACAACGAAGGUUAUACUGUCUCCUCUCUCCAAUCAGUGAAACUGAUCUCCCUGUGAAAAAGCAGGAAUAAUUUUAUAAGACGAGAAGACCCCAUGGAGCUUCAAACCCACCGCAACUCAAACACUAAAUCCCAUUUACCCCUUAGAGACAUGCCCAUCGGUUUUAGGUUGGGGUGACCGAGGAGCAAAACAAAACCUCCUUAACGUAAAGACCUUAAUCUUCAUCCAAGAGCUACUGCCCUAAGAACUAGAACACUAACGCACACUGAUCCGAUAUUCGACCAAUGAACCAAGUUACCCUGGGGAUAACAGCGCAAUCUACUUAGAGAGUUCUUAUCGACAAGUGGGCUUAUGACCUCGAUGUUGGAUCAGGAUAUCCCAGUGGUGCAGCCGCUACUAAUGGUUCGUUUGUUCAACGAUUAAAACCUAC
Molecule: ribosomal RNA, 885 nt
Filed under: Kurixalus appendiculatus (Philippine flying frog)
Lineage: Eukaryota; Metazoa; Chordata; Amphibia; Anura; Rhacophoridae
Description: partial 16S ribosomal RNA
Rfam family: Bacterial large subunit ribosomal RNA
Source: RNAcentral